UAUCCAUUGCAAAUAUCAUCUGUACUCAAUUACAUUCGGUCCAUUAGGAGACAGAGCUUUCAGAAGUAAUAAAAGCAUCUUAAGAGAGGGUUUGCACUAGAGAGCUAAUGAUUUCUGAAGAAGACAGACAAUCGACUUGAUUCCACAGGUACUGCAGAAGGGAAAAUGUUCCAGAUGAAAUGGAAAUUAUUUCUUGAAUCGUCUCCUGAUUUCACAGAAAUAAGGGAAGUAUUAUUACUGAUUAUUCUCUAUAAAACAAGUUUAAAAACAUACCAUCAUCUGAAAAGGAAAAGUGAAAGGUUUCUAAAUUGGAUAUUUCAAUAUUGCUGAUGAGAAUGAAGUGAGCUGAUGAAUGUUGAAUCAUUGCUUGGCAGUUUUUAAACAAAUAUUAUCAUUCAUUCUCUUUCCUGCAUUGACAGAUGAUGUUUCUUGUUUAAAUGAGGCUUCCUGACUUUUGAUAAAGGCUGCUGAAAAUAGCAUUCCCCUGCCCAAGCUGUAUAUUCACUUCUAGCAUAUACUGACAGGGAGUAAAAAUUUGGGAUGCUCUGCAGUGUUCUGCCCUCUCGUGAAGGGUUUGUCUUGUGUGUGAAGUAUGAUGUACACCAUGGUAUCACUAUAUCACAUUACCCAGUGAUGAGUUUAGAAGCUGCCACUGCUGUCUAAUUCAGCAAUCCAUAUUGAAGUUGAGUAGCCUCUUUCUCCCUUAAAAGUAGGGCAUCAUUAAUUUAAAAUAACCUAUUGUGUGUGCAGCAGACUAGGCAAGGAAGUGAGUGAUAUCCUCCUGCCUUCAGCCGUGCUUCCCUGCCUGCUGGCUGCUUCCAAACAGAAGAGACAAGUCUGACGGGCUGCUUAAAUUCCUUCCCUCACUUCCUCCCAUUCUUAGGCUCCAUGCGGAGCUGGACUUUGGACUGUAAAGAACAGCUAGUUACCUCACUGAUGCUUUAUAUACUGAUUUCAGCAUGUAUAUGUUCAUUUUUGUAUCUUGUUUGUUCAUAACUAUGGAAGACUAUUGGAAGUUAGAGCUGAGGAGAUGCUUUCCUGUAGGGAGAAAGUUGUGAGGUACAAGAGUGAAAAUGGAUUUUGCAAUUGUGGAGCUGGCUGUGUGUAAGCAAACGCACUUGGAUCAUGUGGUGGUUUUCUCCUGUUACGCAGUUUUUGCAUUAUUCUUGAAAUAUUGUCAAUUUAACAUCAAGCAUCCAAAGAUAGUGCCAAUUCUAAUUUCAUCAGCAGGUGAGUGUGAAAAAUAGUCCAAUGUUUUAAACUUAGGAGUGGAAAAGCAGAAUAAUAGAAAGCCAAUUAUGUAUUAAUUGUGAUAGAGCAUUAUCUGAAUUUGAAGAGGUAGUAAUUCUGUCCAUUUAAUUAGAGACUCGACCUAACAUUUCCCACUGCUAGUGGAAAAUAUUGAUAUAAUGCAUAGGAAUCAUUAUGUUUGUUUGUGGUGGGUUUUUUGGUUGUUUGUCCUUUUCUGACUUUCUUUUUUUAAUAGCACUUGCCCAGAUGGCCAGUUAAUUAUCUUUCUGCAGGCAGAAUUAUUUAAUUUAAUGAAUUUUUAAAUGUCAGUGAUGUGAAAAACCAUUACUGUGGUUGUCAGUCCCUUACUCACCUUCAGCUUCCAUUACCCAUCACCCCCACUUUUGCUUUAAGGAGCAUCUGAAGUGACAGAGCUUUGAUUUCAGUUUAAAGUGCUGAGCACAGAAGUCUUACAAGUAAUAAAUUAUUAAAAAAUUGCAGCAAGAAAAUUAAUUUCUACUAUCGUAUGCCAUGCUGUGUGUAUCACUUCUAACAAAUGAUGGUUUUUUUCAUAUAUUCACUGAUAGAUUUACCAGGACAAAAUAAUUACUUUUUUUUUCACCUCUAAGAAAAAAUGUUUUUUCUUGUUUGUUGUGCGUGGUUUUGUUGUUUUGUUUUUAAUUGACAUAACCAUGCAAAGUGAAUGGGUUCUGUAAGAUAAAAAGAAAAAGGAAAGAAAAAUGAAGGAACUGGAAAACCACAUAAAUGAGGCACUGGCUCCCUGUCAUGUUAACAGUUUUCACCAUAGUGCUGAUCUUGUCUGGAGCUCUUGUGAAGGACAUCAGGAACAUGAAAUACAGCCUCCCAGCAUGGCCUUUCCCAAAGGCAUAAGAAAUGAAUGUUUUCUGUGGAAAUAGUAUGCAGUAUUUCAAGAGUUAGAGAGUUUAUAUUGGAUCCUAGUUGGACUGAAGAGAGAUCUAUGGUUAUGUGGUUUCCCAUGUUUCUUGCUUCUGAGAGAAACAUCUGUUUAUCCAGAGAGCCUUAGCCGGGCUUGGCAAUGAGCACGUUCCACAGCCAGAAGAAAGACCAGACAGCUAUACUCUGUGCCACUUCAUUUGAAAACUUGCCUUGAAGCACACUAAAGACUUCAUUGAGACUUUCUGACUGUGUGUUAAUGGAAUUACCCCAUAAGGAGAUGAAAAAUAAGGUAUUCUCAGAAACUGAUAGGCAAAGGAAAAUGCUGUCCUAUCCCAAGAAAUGCAAAAGAAUUAUCGAGCUUGCCUGUGCCUCUCUUGCCGUUUUGAUAUCAGGGAAACUCAUCCAGCUGUGAACCAACAGCCUUUGUAAUGGAGCUUGCAGCAGGAGUACCUCUGGAAGAUUGAAGUGUUGAGAAUAAAGUCAGUGAGAUAAAGCUUACUUUCUACCUUCAUGAAAAUAUAAUCACUUCCUGUUGUCUGAAAUAGCACGCUAGCAAGAAAUCAGAUGUGGAAGAUCUGAACCGGUGCUCCUUCACUUCUUGAUGCAGGAUCUCUCCGCAAGCGCUGUGUGCAAGUCUUGCCCUUAAAACUUUGAGCGCUGCAUAAAUUCUGCUGGUCAAGAGGCUCAGACUGUGACUGCAAAAGCACUCCCCCAUCAUUCAAGAUCGUUUCACAUGCACCUCCAAGAAUUGUGUAGUGCAUCACCUACAGAAACACCAAUUAUGCAAACUGUGGAAACAGGCAGGUUCAGCAGGAUGACGAGAUGAGCACAUUUAAGAGAUGCCUGGAAUGACAGCAGCCCAUCAGCUCUUGGGAAAAACAAACACAUCCCAAAACCACAUCAUUGCAAGUGGACUUUGUACAAGAGAAACUUUAACACGAGAAGUUGGUAAUGGCAGCGGGACACAUGCUGAAAUGAACAUACCACAGGUUACAGCAAGAUGAACACUGCAUUUCACCAGUCACCAGCCUAACAAGUUGCCAGGCUAUACGUGAAGUCCUUGC
Meleagris gallopavo (turkey) is the source of this 3212-nucleotide non-coding RNA. Lineage: Eukaryota; Metazoa; Chordata; Aves; Galliformes; Phasianidae. The record is from RefSeq and is a predicted model, not a curated record.